GGUAAAUUACGAGUAAUCGCGGUCUAGUUAUCUAGGCUGAGGAAGGUCCACGCCCGCGCGAACUGAGAUGUUUGCAGUGUUUGUGCUUGGCCCAAUAAGCCAAGGUACCUUCGGGUAACGGCAGCGAAAGCACUAAGGUCAGUGAGACUAUGUGUUAAUAGCUUGAAAGUGCCACAGAGACGUAUUACUGUGAGAAAUUGCAGUGGUGGAACGAGGUAAACCCCGCAAGCGGGCAACCCAAACUUUGGUAGGGGCGCUUCAUAACGAGAAAUGAAUCUACUGUGAAGGCUUAAUUGUAGAUAGAUGAUUACUAACUGUGUUAGGUUUGCCAACCUAAUACAUGAACAGAACGUGGCCUAUAGGAGUUUAUCGAGG
Molecule: RNase P RNA, 375 nt
Filed under: Companilactobacillus farciminis
Lineage: Bacteria; Bacillati; Bacillota; Bacilli; Lactobacillales; Lactobacillaceae
Description: Lactobacillus farciminis bacterial RNase P
Rfam family: Bacterial RNase P class B
About the family: Ribonuclease P (RNase P) is a ubiquitous endoribonuclease, found in archaea, bacteria and eukarya as well as chloroplasts and mitochondria. Its best characterised activity is the generation of mature 5'-ends of tRNAs by cleaving the 5'-leader elements of precursor-tRNAs.
Source: RNAcentral